Molecule: ribosomal RNA, 497 nt
Filed under: uncultured bacterium
Lineage: Bacteria
Description: partial 16S ribosomal RNA
Rfam family: Bacterial small subunit ribosomal RNA
Source: RNAcentral
GAUGAACGCUGGCGGCGUGCCUAAUACAUGCAAGUCGAGCGAACAGACGAGGAGCUUGCUCCUCUGACGUUAGCGGCGGACGGGUGAGUAACACGUGGAUAACCUACCUAUAAGACUGGGAUAACUUCGGGAAACCGGAGCUAAUACCGGAUAACAUAUUGAACCGCAUGGUUCAACAGUGAAAGACGGUCUUGCUGUCACUUAUAGAUGGAUCCGCGCCGCAUUAGCUAGUUGGUAAGGAAACGGCUUAACAAGGCAACGACGCGUAGCCGACCUGAGAGGGUGAUCGGCCACACUGGAACUGAGACACGGUCCAGACUCCUACGGGAGGCAGCAGUAGGGAAUCUUCCGCAAUGGGCGAAAGCCUGACGGAGCAACGCCGCGUGAGUGAAGAAGGUCUUCGGAUCGUAAAACUCUGUUAUUAGGGAAGAACAAAUGUGUAAGUAACUAUGCACGUCUUGACGGUACCUAAUCAGAAAGCCACGGCUAACUACGUG